This 501-nucleotide ribosomal RNA is filed under the name uncultured bacterium. RNAcentral's name for it is "partial 16S ribosomal RNA". It matches the Rfam family "Bacterial small subunit ribosomal RNA", at positions 30 to 523 of the family's 1533-position model. The record is from RNAcentral.
AUUGAACGCUGGCGGCAGGCUUAACACAUGCAAGUCGAGCGGAGAUGAGGUGCUUGCACCUUAUCUUAGCGGCGGACGGGUGAGUAAUGCUUAGGAAUCUGCCUAUUAGUGGGGGACGACAUUCCGAAAGGAAUGCUAAUACCGCAUACGUCCUACGGGAGAAAGCAGGGGAUCUUCGGACCUUGCGCUAAUAGAUGAGCCUAAGUCGGAUUAGCUAGUUGGUGGGGUAAAGGCCUACCAAGGCGACGAUCUGUAGCGGGUCUGAGAGGAUGAUCCGCCACACUGGGACUGAGACACGGCCCAGACUCCUACGGGAGGCAGCAGUGGGGAAUAUUGGACAAUGGGGGGAACCCUGAUCCAGCCAUGCCGCGUGUGUGAAGAAGGCCUUAUGGUUGUAAAGCACUUUAAGCGAGGAGGAGGCUACUGAGACUAAUACUCUUGGACAGUGGACGUUACUCGCAGAAUGAGCACCGGCUAACUCUGUGCCAGCAGCCGCCGUAA